UGAAGUUAGCUUCCCAUUCGGCAGUUAAGGGGACACUUAAGGGAAACUUAAAGAUGAAGUUAGCUUCCGGUUAAGGGAACCAUAACAACAUUGCUGAACGACUGACUGGUCCUCCGUUUUUUGAACCUCUCUGUUGUGAGAGGGUGUUAGACAUUUUAGGUUAAGUAUUAAAGCUGUGUGAAACCCACUUUGGGAUUUGUGAAAGCUUAUUUGGAAAAAUGCAAUAACGGGAGAUUUCACUGAGUAUUUUUUACCUGUAGACCACCUUGGACCAAAACGUAGCAACACAUUUUUUUAAACUGAAAUGGGAGUCCGUUGAACACCCUGUUGUGUGCGCAAGCCCUCUGCCUGCGAAUCGGAAGCUAACUUCAGCGUUAAGUUUCCCCUUAACUGCUGAAUCGGAAGCUACGAAUCGGAAGCUGACUUCAGCGUCGUCAAAGAUUUGCCCACAGGCUGUAUUUACGCCCAGUUAUGUCGAGUUUGUGCCCAAUCUGAGAAACGGUUAUCGGUUUGGUUUGUUUAAAAAGUUGAUCGACCGGUGUAUCCUAGCAUCAGGAAGUACCUCCAGGAAGUAGUUUGCUGUCUUGUUUGAGUGACAGCUGUGCGGUGGUGACAGCCCACACGGGACGGCAGCCCGCUGAGCCGAGCCGAUACUCAAGAUGGCAGGUCUAUCUUUAUACUUUGAAGAUGGCCAUGAUGAUCUGGAUGAUUUUGGAUUUGAUGACUAUGGUUCAGAGUGCGACGGAAUCCGCAUCACAGCCUUCCUCGAUGCAGGACAAGACAACCUAACUCCUCUUGGGAGGCUAGAGAAGUAUGCCUUCAGUGAGAAUGUCUUCAACAGGUAAGUGAAGUCCCGUGGUCAGGCUGUCAACACUCUGAAAAACAGACAAAAGGCUAAAUAUCAGACAGACAAUGGGAUGGUCAUCAGUAUUUUUUCAGGGUGUGAGGAUGCAUUGUCAAAUUAUAUAGUGGUAUGUGAACACACAGGGAUGCAUAUUGUAGUGCAGAAAAUAUAGAUUUCUUUUUUUUUUACCUGCCAAGAAGUCGACUAGAACUCUUGAUUACUCUUCAUUUUCGUUCUUCACUGUUUGUAGCUUGCUUUAAGAGAUAAAAUGAUGCAUAACUUAAUGCUGCUGCAACUGAGAUUGACAGUAAAGGAAUCUACAGAGCUUAUAAUAUUGAUACAUUUUAUUUAAAUAGCGCUUUUCACAAUACUUAUUUACAGAGUUAAAACACACUAAAAAUAGGGGCACCUAUGGAGAAGGUGCUUGUCUGCUUAGAUUGUAGAAAUCACAAAUGUGCAGUUGCACAUUACAAAAAACAAUUAGCCAGAAUCAUGCUGUAAUCCAUACAUACGCUGUUUCCUUUCUGACCGUGUGCCACACUAAUAUUAGUACAUUUGAAAUUAAUCCUUUUUUCUAGCAUCUACACUAAGCCCACUUUAUUUUUUUUGUAUAUGCAAAAAAUGCUAACAGAAAAAUUAAUACAAUUUUCGAUUGGUAUUUUUGGUGUUGAAGUUUCAGAAAAAUGUAUUGAUGUAUAAACCACGAUUUCAAAUGUAUCUGCAGUUGUGUGGACAUGUCCUAAUGUGGACAAUUUGUGUUGAGAGCAUAACCAUAGUGGGGUUAGCAACAAGGAAACAUCAGACUGCAACCUAGUGGAACUAUCAAGGAAAUGUGGCCAAUUUCACUUCUUAGAAGUGAUGUGAAGAUGUAGCCAGAUAUUCAAAUGAACCUUUCAUCUAAUUUUAUAAACCUUAUCUACCAGGAAACUUAUGUUUUAAAACAGCGAUAAUAUAGAUUUUGCACCAAAUUGGGUGUAUUUUUGGCUCUGUUGUUGUAUUUUAUGCUGUGUAAACAAGAAUUUGUAUUAUUUGCACUGUUGAAAGAAAGUUAGAUUGAUUGUUAGAUCAUUCACUUAAUGUUCAGUGAUUGCAAGUAAAUCAUUGCUGAAAGGUUUUUGUGGCUCAAAUAAGUAAUAGCAUAAUGUUGCACAAUAAUAUCUUGUUAAUUGAUGUUCUUUACUUCAUUGUAUCAUAAACCCCGCAUUGGAAAAUUUAAAUGUGAUAGACAUAUCAUCCACCUCAAGUAAUCUCCAGAUGUUUGUUUGUCAUCUAGACGACUGUCUGCAUUCCUGUGUAUUUACUAAUUGUAUACCUGCCUUAACUCUGUAGUGCAGGAGUGCCAAAGACUUAAAGUAAAGCCAUGGGUGAAUGGUGUCUGUCUGAAUGGAUAUGGCAAUAAGUUGAUAAUAGUAGCCCAAUGUCAUGAAUGAUGACUCAUUAUGAUUCAUACAAACCCUAAUUACAAUGAAGUUGGGACGUUGUGUAAAAUGUAAUUACAAACAGAAAACAAU
Long non-coding RNA from Perca fluviatilis (European perch), 2355 nucleotides. RefSeq lists it as uncharacterized. The transcript is spliced from 3 exons. Lineage: Eukaryota; Metazoa; Chordata; Actinopteri; Perciformes; Percidae. The record is from RefSeq and is a predicted model, not a curated record.